UACAGAGGUGGCAAGCGUUGUUCGGAAUUACUGGGCGGAAAGGGCGCGUAGGCGGCCUACUAAGUCAGACGUGAAAUCCCCCGGCUUAACCUGGGAACUGCGUCUGAUACUGGAAGGCUUGAGGAUGGGAGAGGGAUGUAGAAUUCCAGGUGUAGCGGUGAAAUGCGUAGAUAUCUGGAGGAAUACCAGUGGCGAAGGCGGCCUUCUGGACGGAUACUGACGCUGAGGCGCGAAAGCCAGGGGAGCAAACGGG
RNAcentral lists this ribosomal RNA (253 nucleotides) under uncultured bacterium. Its description in RNAcentral is "partial 16S ribosomal RNA". It matches the Rfam family "Bacterial small subunit ribosomal RNA", at positions 524 to 776 of the family's 1533-position model. The record is from RNAcentral.